AGAUUGAACGCUGGCGGCAUGCCUUACACAUGCAAGUCGAACGGCAGCACGGGGGCAACCCUGGUGGCGAGUGGCGAACGGGUGAGUAAUGCAUCGGAACGUGCCCAGUAGUGGGGGAUAACUAGUCGAAAGAUUAGCUAAUACCGCAUACGACCUAUGGGUGAAAGCGGGGGAUUCGCAAGAACCUCGCGCUAUCGGAGCGGCCGAUGUCUGAUUAGCUAGUUGGCGGGUAAAGCCCACAAGGCUUCGAUCAGUAGCUGGUCUGAGAGGACGACCAGCCACACUGGGACUGAGACACGGCCCAGACUCCUACGGGAGGCAGCAGUGGGAAUUUUGGACAAGUGGGCGCAAGGCCUGGAUCCAGCCAUCGCCGCGUGCGGGAAGAAGGCCUUCGGUUGUAAACCGUCGUUUUAGGCAGGAACGAAACGGCGACGAGCCGGAAUAUCGUACGCGUUAAGUCGGAACGUACC
Molecule: ribosomal RNA, 470 nt
Filed under: uncultured soil bacterium
Lineage: Bacteria
Description: bacterial SSU rRNA
Rfam family: Bacterial small subunit ribosomal RNA
Source: RNAcentral